CGCUCGUUUAUCUCUGCUCUGCUCUUUACUCCAAAGUAUGAAGUAUCGCUCUCUUCCUUCUCCCAUCAUCGUACCAAUUUUCCGCACCUUCACCGCAACAUGAUCUAGCAGUUCCACCAUUAACUCUGCUAACGCGUCUCGCUCACAAAAUUUGGAACGGAUCGUGAAACACCGAAACCUUAAGCCGAAGUUUACCGCAUAGAAAUGGAAGGUGCCUUUGACGAUGAAGCUGAACCGGCCGUUACUAUCGGCGAGUACCUUGAUGAAGUCGAGGAACGGGAACUGGAAGCUGAUUUAGUUUUGGGGGGUGAUGAUGGCAAGGAAUGUACCUACAACAAAGGUUAUAUGAAAAGGCAAGCAAUUUUCUCUUGCCUCACCUGU
Cajanus cajan (pigeon pea) is the source of this 381-nucleotide non-coding RNA. NCBI's taxonomy places the organism in Eukaryota, Viridiplantae, Streptophyta, Magnoliopsida, Fabales, Fabaceae. The record is from RefSeq and is a predicted model, not a curated record.